AGCUCAGUGAUUGUAGCCACUUAUGUUGGCAAUAUACGCUAUGCUGACCAUAGUUUGAUGAUGAAUGAGAAUAUGAGAGCU
Non-coding RNA from Oryza glaberrima (African rice), 81 nucleotides. The record is from Rfam. Lineage: Eukaryota; Viridiplantae; Streptophyta; Magnoliopsida; Poales; Poaceae.